This 250-nucleotide ribosomal RNA is filed under the name uncultured bacterium. RNAcentral's name for it is "partial 16S ribosomal RNA". It matches the Rfam family "Bacterial small subunit ribosomal RNA", at positions 524 to 773 of the family's 1533-position model. RNAcentral also lists the same sequence under 1 other name. The record is from RNAcentral.
UACGUAGGGGGCAAGCGUUAUCCGGAUUUACUGGGUGUAAAGGGAGCGUAGACGGUUCUGCAAGUCUGGAGUGAAAGCCCGGGGCUCAACCCCGGGACUGCUUUGGAAACUGUGGAACUAGAGUGCAGGAGAGGUAAGUGGAAUUCCUAGUGUAGCGGUGAAAUGCGUAGAUAUUAGGAGGAACACCAGUGGCGAAGGCGGCUUACUGGACUGUAACUGACGUUGAGGCUCGAAAGCGUGGGGAGCAAAC